RNAcentral lists this ribosomal RNA (448 nucleotides) under uncultured bacterium. RNAcentral's name for it is "bacterial SSU rRNA". It matches the Rfam family "Bacterial small subunit ribosomal RNA", at positions 335 to 795 of the family's 1533-position model. The record is from RNAcentral.
ACUCCUACGGGAGGCAGCAGUGGGGAAUAUUGCACAAUGGACGAAAGUCUGAUGCAGCGACGCCGCGUGCGGGAUGGAGGCCUUCGGGUUGUGAACCGCUUUUGUUGGGGAACAAGCGAGAGUGAGUGUACCCUUCGAAUAAGGACCGGCUAACUACGUGCCAGCAGCCGCGGUAAUACGUAGGGUCCAAGCGCUGUCCGGAAUUAUUGGGCGUAAAGGGCUCGUAGGCGGCUUGUCGCGUCUGGUGUGAAAGCACGGGGCUUAGCCUCGUGUCUGCGCUGGAUACGGGCAGGCUUGAGUGCCACAAGGGGGAAUGGAAUUCCCGGUGUAACGGUGGAAUGUGUAGAUAUCGGGAAGAACACCGAUGGCGAAAGCAGUUCCCUGGGUGGUUACUGACGCUGAGGAGCGAAAGCGUAGGGAGCAAACAGGAUUAGAUACCCUGGUAGUC